This 254-nucleotide ribosomal RNA is filed under the name uncultured bacterium. RNAcentral's name for it is "partial 16S ribosomal RNA". It matches the Rfam family "Bacterial small subunit ribosomal RNA", at positions 524 to 776 of the family's 1533-position model. The record is from RNAcentral.
UACGUAGGGGCCAAGCGUUGUCCGGAUUUAUUGGGCGUAAAGAGCUCGUAGGCGGUUGGGUAAGUCGGGUGUGAAAACUCCAGGCUCAACUUGGAGAUGCCACCCGAUACUGCUCUGACUUGAGUUCGGUAGGGGAGUGGGGAAUUCCUGGUGUAGCGGUGAAAUGCGCAGAUAUCAGGAGGGACACCGGUGGCGAAGGCGCCACUCUGGGCCGAAACUGACGCUGAGGAGCGAAAGCGUGGGGAGCAAACAGG